RNAcentral lists this ribosomal RNA (694 nucleotides) under Microbacterium sp. MOLA 444. Its description in RNAcentral is "bacterial SSU rRNA". It matches the Rfam family "Bacterial small subunit ribosomal RNA", at positions 138 to 843 of the family's 1533-position model. Lineage: Bacteria; Bacillati; Actinomycetota; Actinomycetes; Micrococcales; Microbacteriaceae. The record is from RNAcentral.
CUGGGAUAAGCGNUGGAAACGGCGUCUAAUACCGGAUACGAGGUNCGAAGGCAUCUUCAGCAGCUGGAAAGAACUUCGGUCUGGGAUGGGCUCGCGGCCUAUCAGCUAGUUGGUGAGGUAACGGCUCACCAAGGCGUCGACGGGUAGCCGGCCUGAGAGGGUGACCGGCCACACUGGGACUGAGACACGGCCCAGACUCCUACGGGAGGCAGCAGUGGGGAAUAUUGCACAAUGGGCGAAAGCCUGAUGCAGCAACGCCGCGUGAGGGAUGACGGCCUUCGGGUUGUAAACCUCUUUUAGCAGGGAAGAAGCGAAAGUGACGGUACCUGCAGAAAAAGCGCCGGCUAACUACGUGCCAGCAGCCGCGGUAAUACGUAGGGCGCAAGCGUUAUCCGGAAUUAUUGGGCGUAAAGAGCUCGUAGGCGGUCUGUCGCGUCUGCUGUGAAAACCCGAGGCUCAACCUCGGGCCUGCAGUGGGUACGGGCAGACUAGAGUGCGGUAGGGGAGAUUGGAAUUCCUGGUGUAGCGGUGGAAUGCGCAGAUAUCAGGAGGAACACCGAUGGCGAAGGCAGAUCUCUGGGCCGUAACUGACGCUGAGGAGCGAAAGGGUGGGGAGCAAACAGGCUUAGAUAACCCUGGUAGUCCACCCCGUAAACGUUGGGAACUAGUUGUGGGGUCCAUUCCACUGAUUCCG